GCCCGCCCGUAGGAACCCCACGAAAAAAAAACAUCCUGAACUGGCCACCUCGCCUCCCUCCCGAGCACCGCCCGCCGCCACCCUCCUGCGCGCCGGCCACGGCCUCCCUCCUGCGCGUCACCGGCCACCGCCUCCCUCCCCGCACUAACGUCCGCCGCAUCCCUCCCCCGCACUGACGGCCGCCGCAUCCCUCCCCCGCACCGACGGCCGCCGCAUCCCUCCCCGCACCGACGGCCGCUAUAUCCCUCCCCCGUGCAAACGACCGCUGCAAGCUCCUCCCGCUCAUGGCCGCCGCAAGCUCCUCCCGUACGCCAACCUCCACCCCGCCUUCCCCCUCUGCUCUCCCUCACGCUCGGGCGCCAGCCAUCCUUCUUCCCCGCGCGCGGCACCUCGAUCCACCGCCGGCCGACCUCCCUCGUCCCGUUUCCUGGCCGCCGUCCAUGUCGUGCCAUUGUUUCUGGAAGAAAACCAACUUGGACUUCGUUGACGGCCUUUGCACCAUUUUGAGCGCUGACAGCUCCUUCCUUUGCCAUUGAUACAGCCAUCGACAUGUACUGGGUGUUCCUUCGCAAGUUCAAUUAGUGUCAUCACACAAGUUCAGAAGUUUGAUUUUGUGAAGAAGUAUGAAAAUUGUCAGUGCAAAUGUGGAAAACCAGAAAGUUCUAAUAAUGGUGUACCAAAAGUUCAAGGUUAGUAAUCUGGGGACGUUAGAGCAACUGCCGAUGGAGGCGGAGUCAAAAUCUCGUGACUUUCUACUGCAGAUCUUCAGCAUGGACUUCGAUGAAGACACUCCUCUGAUGUUAAUGCGCUUCUGCAUUUUAAUAAAGAAGUUACAGAAUUUCAGUUCCUCGGUACUUAUAAGAUCUUGAGAGGAUGACAGAGGAUGCCCAUGUGUACUGUGUACAAGCCAGCCAGCCAUGUAUAAGGAUCCAAUGGAAGACUGGAUUUGGUUGUUGUUAAUUAGCAGCCACCUAAGCCUAGCAAUUGACCGUGGAGCACGUACUGGAUCCCUGACACGAUGCAAUUAGUCAUCAGUGUCGACGACUGAUUUAUUUUGUUUUGUACAAGUUAAAACAUCAGUGGCCAUAGGGAAGGAGACCUUCCCAAAUCGUGCCCCUGGACAAUGCAACAAUGAAUUGGACGCCGUUUCCGCCUCUCUUCCAGCAGCGCCGAUGUCCCCUUCUAGCUCAGCACCGGUUUCCCCGCCUCGUGAUACGGUCUGCGGUUGCUUGUGAGUUGUCUGCUAGGUGUUGUUUAAGUGUCACAGACGGCGUGUUGUCUCCUGGCAUCUGGAUUAGCUGCCGACUGCAAAUAAAAGCACGAGGGAGGCUAGAGCGACUGCAGACCGGUGACGAGAACCACUCUUCAGUUCUGCUAUUCGUGUAUUGGAAGUACGUAUCCUCUAUCCAGGCAGGAGGUAGAGUACAAGUUUUGGAAGGCCGGGGAGUUCUACCGCUGGCAUACACCAAGUUCAGAGAUGUUGCAUGGAGUGAGCCGACACCGCGUGGGACAAGGUCAUCAUCUUGAGGAGGUCAAUGAGGUCAGUGAUACCAUGCACGCUGAAACGAUGGCCUUACACUAGGCUGUAUGUAUAACUUGGUCCAUGGGAUGCAGGCUUGUGCUGCUUGAAACGGAUGCGACUAACCUGUAGAAAGCAUUACAGGAAGUGAUUUAAGAGAUGAAUGUGUAUGCUGUUGCACUACUUUUGCUUGUUGUUUUUAUAAAGUUGAUUGCUGU
This is a long non-coding RNA of Triticum aestivum (bread wheat), 1737 nucleotides long. RefSeq lists it as uncharacterized. The record is from RefSeq and is a predicted model, not a curated record. NCBI's taxonomy places the organism in Eukaryota, Viridiplantae, Streptophyta, Magnoliopsida, Poales, Poaceae. The transcript has 5 exons.